RNAcentral lists this transfer RNA (65 nucleotides) under Polytoxus fuscovittatus. Its description in RNAcentral is "tRNA-Arg". Lineage: Eukaryota; Metazoa; Arthropoda; Insecta; Hemiptera; Reduviidae. The record is from RNAcentral.
AAAGUAAUGAAGUAAUAUUACAAUUAGCUUCGAACUAAUUAUAAGAGGAAAACCUCCUUACUUUU